GUCUAUGGCCAUGCCACCCUGAACGUGCUUGACCUCAUCAAUCUCAUAAGCUAAGUAGGGUCGGGUCUGGCUAGUACUUGGAUGAGAGACCACCUAGGAAGAUCAGGUGCUGUAGGUG
RNAcentral lists this ribosomal RNA (118 nucleotides) under Pteropus alecto (black flying fox). The record is from RNAcentral. Lineage: Eukaryota; Metazoa; Chordata; Mammalia; Chiroptera; Pteropodidae.